RNAcentral lists this ribosomal RNA (178 nucleotides) under Paenibacillus dendritiformis. RNAcentral's name for it is "partial 23S ribosomal RNA". It matches the Rfam family "Bacterial large subunit ribosomal RNA", at positions 1 to 176 of the family's 2925-position model. Lineage: Bacteria; Bacillati; Bacillota; Bacilli; Caryophanales; Paenibacillaceae. The record is from RNAcentral.
AGGUUAAGCUAGUAAGAGCACACGGAGGAUGCCUAGGCGCCAGGAGCCGACGAAGGACGUGGCGAACGACGAAAUUGCCUCGGGGAGCUGUAAGCAAGCAUCGAUCCGGGGAUGUCCGAAUGGGGAAACCCGGCUGCUGUAAUAGGCAGUCACUCACACCUGAAUACAUAGGGUGUGA